AAUAUAGUACUGAAGAUUCUAAGACCAUAAGUCAUUAUGUAUCAAUAGUUAUUAUAUAAUAAUUAUUAUUAUAAUAGUUGUGUUUAAUAUUUAGUGUUUUGUGCUAUCUCCACUAUAGUCUCCUACAGAAAAUAUUAAUGAUAAAUCACCGUCCAAACGUACUCAAGUAAAAUCACUUACUCAUUGAAAACUCCGGUAAAGAAUAUUAGAGAAAGCAAUCUUCAUUCAUGCUGCCAACAGUGAAAAUGUUUACUAUCAAACCGUCUAACAAACCAACAGCAGUUUCAAUGAGUAAUUUUGUCGAUCAUUUUUAUGCUACAGAAAAACGGUUAGAAUCUCCCAGAACUUUACCUAAGAGCAGAGAAAUGCUUUAUGAAUCAAGUUCUUAUGCACAACUUGCUCAAUGUGUUGAUUCUUUAAAGCACCAAUUAAGAACAAGUUGUUUGAUAGUUUGAUGACUGAUGAGAGUAUAAAAUGUGCUUUGAAAAUAAUAACUUUUUGUGGAACUAUGAACUUGGAUAAUAACUUCUUAGACUAAAUUUCGUAACGAUAUUGUAGCGGACGAAAAUGACUGGACGUUAUAUGAUUCUACGACUUCAAGAUAACCUUACUAACACCAACGGAUUGAUACAACAACAACAAGGUUACUACUAAAAAUUAUUAAAAUAGUUUUCAUAAAUUUACUCGAGUUUUAAACUCGCAAGAUGUCAUAAUUCAUAGAAAUUGAUGCAAGAAUGAAUAUUCAAUCGUACUACAUUUGAAAACAUGAGGUAUUGAUGUUUAUUUAAAAAAAGCCAAGCUCUGCUCAGAAUAACUACUUGAUACAAUCGAGGGACACGCAUACAAGACUGAUCAAAAUAUCAUCCAAGACGUCAAAUGAAGGAACGAAAAUCGGAUGUUUUAUUAAACUGAAUGAACUCAUCUUUAAUUGAACUCAAGUGCCAAAACAAAGAAUUUGCCGUAAAACUAUUUUAUAACUGCAUAUAUGAAAUUAAUUUCUUUCUCUUAGAUUUCUUGAUAUAUUUUUAUGAAAAAUUAUGUAUGUUAAUGUAUCUAAUAUCAGAGUAAUAAUAUCAUCUUGUAUACUGUACACAAUUUAAAUACUUCAAAAUUACGUUAUAAUUGAAAAAAACCAACCAAAUAAAUUAUUUGUAAAAAAAAAAGUUUAUUUAUAUACUAAAAACAAAAUAUUGAUUUUUUUUGUUUUUAGUUUGUAAGUAGAAAAUAUUUUAUUUUUUAUGAAUAAAAUAUAAGUUAUUAUUGUUAGUAAAAACAGGUAACUUGAUCAGUCAUUACUUUCCAAAGCAAAUAGUAGUAAUUUUUAAACAUAACUGUAUGGACGUUACACAUAAAAACAAAUUGUGCAUUAUAACUUUAAAUUAGUAUAUUUUUUGUUUGGAUAAUUUAAUAUUUUAUUAUACGUAUUGAUUUAAAUAGUUUGUUUACUAUUACAAUAUUAUUACAUGUGAAUUUCUUUAUUAUAAUUAAUUUCUUUUUAUUCUUAUUAAGUAUAAGUAUCAUUAAUAAAAAAAUAGUUCAAACAAAACAAAUGUUCAAUUAUAGUUCAUAUUUAUUGUAAAUUAGUAGAUAAUUUGUCUGAACGAUGACUGAUGAGACAGUAUGCAGGUAUCGUUUCCUCUGUGCCGUAAAGUGUAUGUUUCCGUCAGUAAUAGUGCUACAGGCUUUUGAGAAAAAUUAUGUAUUUAUAUAAUACUAUUAUGACUAUAAUGGCAUAAUAAUAUUAUAUAGGUACAUAAUUUUUUUUAUAAAUGUCUAACAUGUAAAUGUUCAUAAUUAUUUUUAAAAAAUGUGUUUAAGUUAUAGAAAUAGAAAUUGUAGCAACAUAUGACAUA
Adelges cooleyi (spruce gall adelgid) is the source of this 1853-nucleotide long non-coding RNA. RefSeq lists it as uncharacterized. NCBI's taxonomy places the organism in Eukaryota, Metazoa, Arthropoda, Insecta, Hemiptera, Adelgidae. The transcript is spliced from 4 exons. The record is from RefSeq and is a predicted model, not a curated record.